RNAcentral lists this transfer RNA (302 nucleotides) under uncultured Pseudomonadota bacterium. RNAcentral's name for it is "uncultured proteobacterium partial 16S-23S ribosomal RNA intergenic spacer". The stretch from base 1 to 74 matches the Rfam family "tRNA". Lineage: Bacteria; Pseudomonadati; Pseudomonadota. The record is from RNAcentral.
GGGCUUGUAGCUCAGUUGGUUAGAGCGCGCGCUUGAUAAGCGUGAGGUCGGAAGUUCAAGUCUUCCCAGGCCCACCCACUUCGAUCGAGUGCAGCGCAUUCGUCUUCUGGUUACGGGGCCAUAGCUCAAAUGGGAGAGCGCGUAGUUUGCAAUCAUAAGGUCCUCUGUUCACUCCCGUUGGGGGGCAGCCAUGGUUGCCGCACUGACCACCGAAUUCUGUGCCCGGGGCAAACAGGGCGUGUCCUGGCAGGGAGCCGGCGGACGAGGUGCGUGCUUCGGUCGUAGACGGGGGUCCUCGCCCC